Molecule: ribosomal RNA, 406 nt
Filed under: uncultured bacterium
Lineage: Bacteria
Description: partial 16S ribosomal RNA
Rfam family: Bacterial small subunit ribosomal RNA
Source: RNAcentral
AUUGAACGCUGGCGGCAGGCCUAACACAUGCAAGUCGAACGAGUGGCGGACGGGUGAGUAAUGUAUGGGAAACUGCCUGAUGGAGGGGGAUGACUACUGGAAACGGUAGCUAAUACCGCAUACUAUGAGAUGGGCCCAGAUGGGAUUAGCUAGUUGGUGGGGUAACGGCUCACCAAGGCGACGAUCCCUAGCUGGUCUGAGAGGAUGACCAGCCACACUGGAAAUGAGACACGGUCCAGACUCCUACGGGAGGCAGCAGUGGGGAAUAUUGCACAAUGGGCGCAAGCCUGAUGCAGCCAUGCCGCGUGUAUGAAGAAGGCCUUCGGGUUGUAAAGUACUUUCAGCGGGGAGGCGUUACCCGCAGAAGAAGCACCGGCUAACUCCGUGCCAGCAGCCGCGGUAAUAC